GACGAACGCUGGCGGCGUGCCUAAUACAUGCAAGUCGAGCGAGCUUGCCUAGAUGAAUUUGGUGCUUGCACCAGAUGAAACUAGAUACAAGCGAGCGGCGGACGGGUGAGUAACACGUGGGUAACCUGCCCAAGAGACUGGGAUAACACCUGGAAACAGAUGCUAAUACCGGAUAACAACACUAGACGCAUGUCUAGAGUUUAAAAGAUGGUUCUGCUAUCACUCUUGGAUGGACCUGCGGUGCAUUAGCUAGUUGGUAAGGUAACGGCUUACCAAGGCAAUGAUGCAUAGCCGAGUUGAGAGACUGAUCGGCCACAUUGGGACUGAGACACGGCCCAAACUCCUACGGGAGGCAGCAGUAGGGAAUCUUCCACAAUGGACGCAAGUCUGAUGGAGCAACGCCGCGUGAGUGAAGAAGGGUUUCGGCUCGUAAAGCUCUGUUGGUAGUGAAGAAAGAUAGAGGUAGUAACUGGCCUUUAUUUGACGGUAAUUACUUAGAAAGUCACGGCUAACUACGUGCCAGCAGCCGCGGUAAUACGUAGGUGGCAAGCGUUGUCCGGAUUUAUUGGGCGUAAAGCGAGUGCAGGCGGUUCAAUAAGUCUGAUGUGAAAGCCUUCGGCUCAACCGGAGAAUUGCAUCAGAAACUGUUGAACUUGAGUGCAGAAGAGGAGAGUGGAACUCCAUGUGUAGCGGUGGAAUGCGUAGAUAUAUGGAAGAACACCAGUGGCGAAGGCGGCUCUCUGGUCUGCAACUGACGCUGAGGCUCGAAAGCAUGGUAGCGAACAGG
This 787-nucleotide ribosomal RNA is filed under the name uncultured Lactobacillus sp. Its description in RNAcentral is "bacterial SSU rRNA". It matches the Rfam family "Bacterial small subunit ribosomal RNA", at positions 28 to 776 of the family's 1533-position model. The record is from RNAcentral. Lineage: Bacteria; Bacillati; Bacillota; Bacilli; Lactobacillales; Lactobacillaceae.